RNAcentral lists this ribosomal RNA (308 nucleotides) under uncultured bacterium. Its description in RNAcentral is "bacterial SSU rRNA". It matches the Rfam family "Bacterial small subunit ribosomal RNA", at positions 28 to 334 of the family's 1533-position model. The record is from RNAcentral.
GAUGAACGCUAGCGGCAGGCCUAAUACAUGCAAGUCGAACGGUAAAUCUAGUGCUUGCACUAGAUACGAGUGGCGCACGGGUGCGUAACGCGUAUGCAACCUACCCUUUACUGGGGGAUAGCCCGGAGAAAUUCGGAUUAAUACCCCAUGGUAUUAUUUGAUGGCAUCAGAGAAUAAUUAAAGAUUUAUUGGUAAAGGAUGGGCAUGCGUGACAUUAGUUAGUUGGUGAGGUAAUGGCUCACCAAGACGAUGAUGUCUAGGGGUUCUGAGAGGAUGAUCCCCCACACUGGUACUGAGAUACGGACCAG